Molecule: microRNA precursor, 87 nt
Organism: Gossypium raimondii (Peruvian cotton)
Lineage: Eukaryota; Viridiplantae; Streptophyta; Magnoliopsida; Malvales; Malvaceae
Rfam family: MIR7486 microRNA precursor family
Source: Rfam
CUCAAGGAAGCGCUUUGUUCACAUGGACAGAAAACGCGUCCUUGAGGGCGCGCUUUGUGUCCACGUGGAAUAGGUGCUUCCUGGAGG